RNAcentral lists this ribosomal RNA (445 nucleotides) under uncultured Methanosaeta sp. RNAcentral's name for it is "bacterial SSU rRNA". It matches the Rfam family "Archaeal small subunit ribosomal RNA", at positions 890 to 1338 of the family's 1478-position model. Lineage: Archaea; Methanobacteriati; Methanobacteriota; Methanomicrobia; Methanotrichales; Methanotrichaceae. The record is from RNAcentral.
GGAGUCUUGUCGGUUUAAUUGGAUCACGCGAAUCUUACCGGGACCGACAGCAAUAUGAAGGCCAGGCUGAAGACUUUGCCGGAUUAGCUGAGAGGUGGUGCAUGGCCGUCGUCAGUUCGUACUGUGAAGCAUCCUGUUAAGUCAGGCAACGAGCGAGACCCACGCCCACAGUUGCCAGCGUACUCUCUGGAGUGACGGGUACACUGUGGGACCGCCGCUGCUAAAGCGGAGGAAGGAAUGGGCAACGGUAGGUCAGUAUGCCCCGAAUAUCCCGGGCUACACGCGAGCUACAAUGGUUGGUACAAUGGGUAUCUACCCCGAAAGGGGACGGGAAUCUCCUAAAACCAAUCUUAGUUCGGAUUGAGGGCUGCAACUCGCCCUCAUGAAGCUGGAAUCCGUAGUAAUCGCGUUUCAACAGAACGCGGUGAAUACGUCCCUGCUCCUU